GACGAACGCUGGCGGCGUGCUUAACACAUGCAAGUCGAGCGGUAAGGCCCUUUCGAGGGUACACGAGCGGCGAACGGGUGAGUAACACGUGGGUGACCUGCCCUUAGCUCUGGGAUAAGCCUGGGAAACUGGGUCUAAUACCGGAUAUGACUCCAUAACGCAUGUUGUGGGGUGGAAAGCCUUGUGCGGCUAGGGAUGGGCCCGCGGCCUAUCAGCUUGUUGGUGGGGUGAUGGCCUACCAAGGCGACGACGGGUAGCCGGCCUGAGAGGCGACCGGCCACACUGGGACUGAGACACGGCCCAGACUCCUACGGGAGGCAGCAGUGGGGAAUCUUGCGCAAUGGGCGAAAGCCUGACGCAGCGACGCCGCGUGGGGA
RNAcentral lists this ribosomal RNA (377 nucleotides) under uncultured bacterium. Its description in RNAcentral is "bacterial SSU rRNA". It matches the Rfam family "Bacterial small subunit ribosomal RNA", at positions 28 to 407 of the family's 1533-position model. The record is from RNAcentral.